AACGUAGGAGACAAACGUUAUCCGGAGUUACUGGGCGUAAAGGGCGUGUAGGUGGUUGCGUAAGUCUGGCGUGAAAUUUUUCGGCUUAACCGGGAAAGGUCGUCGGAUACUGCGUAGCUAGAGGACGGUAGAGGCGUGUGGAAUUCCGGGUGUAGUGGUGAAAUGCGUAGAGAUCCGGAGGAACACCAGUGGCGAAGGCGGUUGCCUGGGGCUUUGCUGACGCUGAUGCGCGAAAGCGUGGGGAGCGAUCCGG
This 253-nucleotide ribosomal RNA is filed under the name uncultured bacterium. RNAcentral describes it as "partial 16S ribosomal RNA". It matches the Rfam family "Bacterial small subunit ribosomal RNA", at positions 524 to 776 of the family's 1533-position model. The record is from RNAcentral.